Molecule: long non-coding RNA, 499 nt
Filed under: Crocodylus porosus (Australian saltwater crocodile)
Lineage: Eukaryota; Metazoa; Chordata; Crocodylia; Crocodylidae
Description: lncRNA (ENSCPRG00005017176.1)
Source: RNAcentral
CUACUAUACCUCCAUGCAGUCUGAACUACAUUCAGAGAUGACGAAUUCCGAUGCUUUUAGGAGGCGCUUUAUGCUGCGGUGCUGGGUGAGAUAGUAAGGGAAACCCAGAAUCCACUUCUUAAAAGUCUGUCAUCAAGCUGAAGGGAAGAUUUGGUGCUCUGUCUUCCUCCUCACUAUUUUGAGAUUACUGGCAAAAAUGUCUUGAUCCCAUUUAAUCCCUGAGCUGUGAAGUUGUUGUGUUUUUAAAAUGGUAAUGCCAUGUCUUACAACGACCUGGAAGAAUAUAAAAAUGCUCAUAAAAUCUCAGCAUUCACCUCUCCAGCGAUUUAUAUGUCAUCAUCGUUUUCUUGAUGGUCAGUUGCACUUCUUGCCUCCUAUACUGGCAUGAUGACUUAUCAUUGUUAUACAUUGCCCUGAGGGACAGGAAAUGAUCAGGUAAGUCCUAUUCAGUUCAGUUUUUAGGGCAUGCUAGUUAAAGGGAGCUCUUUCAAUAAUAGCA